RNAcentral lists this transfer RNA (70 nucleotides) under Leptobrachium montanum (mountain spadefoot toad). Its description in RNAcentral is "tRNA-Val". It matches the Rfam family "tRNA". Rfam says of the family: Transfer RNA (tRNA) molecules are approximately 80 nucleotides in length. Their secondary structure includes four short double-helical elements and three loops (D, anti-codon, and T loops). Further hydrogen bonds mediate the characteristic L-shaped molecular structure. tRNAs have two regions of fundamental functional importance: the anti-codon, which is responsible for specific mRNA codon recognition, and the 3' end, to which the tRNAs corresponding amino acid is attached (by aminoacyl-tRNA synthetases). tRNAs cope with the degeneracy of the genetic code in two manners: having more than one tRNA (with a specific anti-codon) for a particular amino acid; and 'wobble' base-pairing, i.e. permitting non-standard base-pairing at the 3rd anti-codon position. The record is from RNAcentral. Lineage: Eukaryota; Metazoa; Chordata; Amphibia; Anura; Megophryidae.
ACAAAGUGUAGCUUAAUUUAAAGCUUUUCGUUUACACCGAAAUUAUGCCUGAUAAUACGGGUCACUCUGA